AAGAUAUUCUUAAAUAAAUUGUCAAUUUAUUUAUAAUAAAAUAAAUAUAUAUCUUA
This 56-nucleotide transfer RNA is filed under the name Panonychus ulmi (European red spider mite). Its description in RNAcentral is "tRNA-Asp". Lineage: Eukaryota; Metazoa; Arthropoda; Arachnida; Trombidiformes; Tetranychidae. The record is from RNAcentral.